This 327-nucleotide ribosomal RNA is filed under the name uncultured bacterium. RNAcentral's name for it is "bacterial SSU rRNA". It matches the Rfam family "Bacterial small subunit ribosomal RNA", at positions 9 to 329 of the family's 1533-position model. The record is from RNAcentral.
GAGUUUGAUCGUGGCUCAGGACGAACGCUGGCGGCGCGCCUAACACAUGCAAGUCGAACGGGGUUGAGAGGAGCUUGCUUUUCUUGACUUAGUGGCGAACGGGUGAGUAACGCGUGAGGAACCUGCCUCAAAGAGGGGGACAACAGUUAGAAACGACUGCUAAUACCGCAUAAGCCCACGGUCCCGCAUGGGAGAGAGGGAAAAGGAGCAAUCCGCUUUGAGAUGGCCUCGCGUCCGAUUAGCUAGUUGGUAAGGUAACGGCUUACCAAGGCGACGAUCAGUAGCCGACCUGAGAGGGUGACCGGCCACAUUGGGACUGAGACACGG